GUGCCACCAGCCGCGGUAAUACGGAGGGUGCGAGCGUUAAUCGGAAUUACUGGGCGUAAAGCGCGCGUAGGCGGCUUGUUAAGCUGGAUGCGAAAUCCCCGGGCUCAACCUGGGACUUGCACCCGGAACUGGCAGGCUAGAGUACGGUAGAGGUGAGUGGAAUUUCCUGUGUAGCGGUGAAAUGCGUAGAUAUAGGAAGGAACACCAGUGGCGAAGGCGGCUCACUGGACUGAUACUGACGCUGAGGUGCGAAAGCGUGGGGAGCAAACUGGAUUAGAUACCCUGGUAGUCCACGCCGUAAACGAUGUCGACUAGCCGUUGGGGAGCUUGACUUCUUAGUGGCGCAGCUAACGCGAUAAGUCGACCGCCUGGGGAGUACGGCCGCAAGGUUAAAACUCAAAUGAAUUGACGGGGGCCCGCACAAGCGGUGGAGCAUGUGGUUUAAUUCGAUGCAACGCGAAGAACCUUACCAGGUCUUGACAUCCUCGGAACUUGGCAGAGAUGCCUUGGUGCCUUCGGGAGCCGAGAGACAGGUGCUGCAUGGCUGUCGUCAGCUCGUGUCGUGGGAUGUUGGGUUAAGUCCCGUAACGAGCGCAACCCUUUGUCCUUAGUUGCUAGCAGGUAACGCUGAGAACUUUAGGGAGACUGCCGGUGACAAACCGGAGGAAGGUGGGGACGACGUCAAGUCAUCAUGGCCCUUACGACCUGGGCUACACACGUGCUACAAUGGGCGGUACAGAGGGUUGCCAAGCCGCGAGGUGGAGCCAAUCCCAGAAAACCGUUCGUAGUCCGGAUCGGAGUCUGCAACUCGACUCCGUGAAGUCGGAAUCGCUAGUAAUCGCGAAUCAGCAUGUCGCGGUGAAUACGUUCCCGGGCCUUGUACACACCGCCCGUCACACCAUGGGAGUGGGUUGCGCCAGAAGAGGGUAGUCUAACCUUCGGGAGGACGGUCGCCACGGUUUGAUUCGGAGGGGGGGUGAAGUCGUAACAAGGUAGCC
Molecule: ribosomal RNA, 998 nt
Filed under: uncultured bacterium
Lineage: Bacteria
Description: bacterial SSU rRNA
Rfam family: Bacterial small subunit ribosomal RNA
Source: RNAcentral